GAUGAAGAACGUAGCGAAAUGCGAUAAGUAAUGUGAAUUGCAGAAUUCAGUGGAUCAUCGAAUCUUUGAACGCACCUUGCGCCCUUUGGACAUUCCGAAGGGCAUGCCUGUUUGAGUAUCAUGAACACCUCAACUCUCACGGCUUGUCCGUGAUGAGCUUGGACUUUGGGGGUCUUGCCGGCCUGUGGUCGGCUCCUCUCAAAUGGAUCAGCUUGCCAGUGUUUGGUGGCAUCACAGGUGUGAUAACUAUCUGCGCUUGUGGUUUUCCAUCAGAUAACCUUCAGUGAUAUGGAGGUUCGCUGGAGCUCACAAAUGUCUCUCCUUAGUGAGGACAGCUCUUUGAACGUUUGAUCUCAAAUCAGGUAGGACUACCCGCUGAACUUAAGCAUAUCAAUAAGCGGAGGA
RNAcentral lists this unclassified non-coding RNA (405 nucleotides) under soil metagenome. Its description in RNAcentral is "partial contains 5.8S ribosomal RNA, internal transcribed spacer 2, and large subunit ribosomal RNA". The stretch from base 1 to 121 matches the Rfam family "5.8S ribosomal RNA", at positions 35 to 154 of the family's 154-position model. The record is from RNAcentral.